GGAGACAUCCUGUGCUACACAGUGAGGGUUUGCUCUCUAACAGUCUGUGAAGCAGAUGAACUAAUCCACUGCAAGAUGGUGCUCAGCUUUUCACUUUUGUUCUGCACUUUUGCAUGUGUCAGUUUUGGGAAUGUCAUCACACCGGUCCAGCCUGAGGUGUUUGGGACAGAGGGGGACAAUAUAACUCUGUCCUGUAACUACUCUUCAGCAGUUAGUCUGCAGUGGUAUCGCCAGUAUCCAAACUCAGCUCCUGAAUUCCUUUUGACAAUACUACAUAGGUCAGGGAAAGUAUCACAGACAUCUCCAAUUGUAGAUCGAGAUCCUCGAUUCUCUGGGAAAGUGAAUGAAAAGAAAACCCAUGUGGAUCUGGAUAUUUCAUCUGUUAAAGUGACAGACUCUGCUCUGUACUACUGUGCUCUGGAGCCCACAGUGACAGGAAACACAAGAACACUGUACAAAAACCUGACUUAUCUUAAUCAUCCAGUGGGUUCAUUGUUGAUCAUCCAGGAAAUGUGUGCAGACAUUUGUUUGAAAGAUAACAAUGUGAAUGUGGCUCAAACAUAUUUACAAUUAUAUUUCAAAAUGAACAUGCUGUUCUGAGCUCCAACAGAAGGAUUGCAACAUAAUCUCAUUUCAUGUUUCAUAAGCAUUUACCAGAUGCUCCCCCUGGAUGAUUCAGAAGUGCACAACAUUUAAUCAAUCAACAUUUAAUUUUAAACACUGAAUGGAGUGUUGAGUAAUGAUUAUUAAAGUAAUACCCUGGUAAAAGUAGAUAUUUUUUAUUUGUUCUGUGUAAUUAUGAUAUAGCAAAUUCAUUGGAUAUAUAGAUAGAUCGGUUAGAUGGAAAGGGGAAAUAACUAGUGAUAUACAGAAGUGCACAGACCAUGUUUAUGUAUCACUGACCACACCCACAUUAUUAAUAUACAAUAGCACCAGUGUAUUCAGUCACCCAUUCGCUACUCUCACAUUUGUAUUCAUUUUAUGA
This is a non-coding RNA of Carassius auratus (goldfish), 985 nucleotides long. NCBI's taxonomy places the organism in Eukaryota, Metazoa, Chordata, Actinopteri, Cypriniformes, Cyprinidae. The record is from the annotation of a RefSeq genome assembly.